This is a small nuclear RNA of Salvia hispanica, 161 nucleotides long. RefSeq annotates it as U1 spliceosomal RNA. The record is from RefSeq and is a predicted model, not a curated record. Lineage: Eukaryota; Viridiplantae; Streptophyta; Magnoliopsida; Lamiales; Lamiaceae.
AUACUUACCUGGACGGGGUCAAUGGGCGAUCAAUUAGGCUCAUGGCCUAGGUUAGCAACUUCCAUUGCACUUUGGAGGGGUGCUUGCUUAAGGUCGGCCCAAGAGGUCGAGCCUGCGUCGUAAUUUGUGGGAGAGUGGGCCUGCGUUCGCGCGGCCCCUAU